RNAcentral lists this ribosomal RNA (253 nucleotides) under uncultured bacterium. RNAcentral's name for it is "partial 16S ribosomal RNA". It matches the Rfam family "Bacterial small subunit ribosomal RNA", at positions 524 to 776 of the family's 1533-position model. The record is from RNAcentral.
UACGAAGGGGGCUAGCGUUGCUCGGAAUCACUGGGCGUAAAGCGCACGUAGGCGGAUCUUUAAGUCAGGGGUGAAAUCCCAAGGCUCAACCUUGGAACUGCCUUUGAUACUGGGGAUCUCGAGUCCGGAAGAGGUGAGUGGAACUGCGAGUGUAGAGGUGAAAUUCGUAGAUAUUCGCAAGAACACCAGUGGCGAAGGCGGCUCACUGGUCCGGUACUGACGCUGAGGUGCGAAAGCGUGGGGAGCAAACGGG